Molecule: ribosomal RNA, 520 nt
Filed under: uncultured Alphaproteobacteria bacterium
Lineage: Bacteria; Pseudomonadati; Pseudomonadota; Alphaproteobacteria
Description: bacterial SSU rRNA
Rfam family: Bacterial small subunit ribosomal RNA
Source: RNAcentral
AGAGUUUGAUCAUGGCUCAGAACGAACGCUGGCGGCAUGCCUAACACAUGCAAGUCGAACGCCAUCCUCUGGAUGGAGUGGCGCACGGGUGAGUAACGCGUGGGAACCUGCCUUUUUCUGCGGGACAACGAUUGGAAACGAUCGCUAAUACCGCAUACGCCCUACGGGGGAAAGGUCCGCCGGAGAGAGAGGGGCCCGCGUUUGAUUAGCUAGUUGGUGGGGUAAUGGCUCACCAAGGCGACGAUCAAUAGCUGGUCUGAGAGGAUGAUCAGCCACACUGGGACUGAGACACGGCCCAGACUCCUACGGGAGGCAGCAGUGGGGAAUAUUGGACAAUGGGGGCAACCCUGAUCCAGCAAUGCCGCGUGUGUGAUGAAGGCCUUAGGGUUGUAAAGCACUUUCACUGGCGAAGAUGAUGACGGUAACCAGAGAAGAAGCCCCGGCUAACUUCGUGCCAGCAGCCGCGGUAAUACGAAGGGGGCGAGCGUUGUUCGGAAUUACUGGGCGUAAAGGGCGUGUA